GAUGAACGCUGGCGGCGUGCCUAAUACAUGCAAGUCUAGCGAACAGAUGAGGAGCUUGCUCCUCUGACGUUAGCGGCGGACGGGUGAGUAACACGUGGAUAACCUACCUAUAAGACUGGGAUAACUUCGGGAAACCGGAGCUAAUACCGGAUAAUAUAUUGAACCGCAUGGUUCAAUAGUGAAAUACGGUUUUGCUGUCACUUAUAGAUGGAUCCGCGCCGCUUUAGCUAGUUGGUAAGGUAACGGCUUACCAAGGCAACGAUGCGUAGCCGACCUGAGAGGGUGAUCGGCCACACUGGAGCUGGAACACGAUCAAGACUCCUACGGGAGGCAGCAGAAGGGAAUCUUCCGCAAUAGGCGAAAGCAUGACAGAGCAGCGCCGCGUGAGUGAUGAAGGUCUUCGGAUCGUAAAACUCUGUUAUGAGGGAAGAACAAAUGUGUAAGUAACUAUGCACGUCGUGACGGUACCUGAUAAGAAAGCAACGGCUAAAUACGUG
RNAcentral lists this ribosomal RNA (497 nucleotides) under uncultured bacterium. RNAcentral's name for it is "partial 16S ribosomal RNA". It matches the Rfam family "Bacterial small subunit ribosomal RNA", at positions 28 to 507 of the family's 1533-position model. The record is from RNAcentral.